Non-coding RNA from Nasonia vitripennis (jewel wasp), 45 nucleotides. The record is from Rfam. NCBI's taxonomy places the organism in Eukaryota, Metazoa, Arthropoda, Insecta, Hymenoptera, Pteromalidae.
UAAACGGCCCUUUUAAGGGCCACCAAUACGCUCUCGCAGCGGGGA